This 8254-nucleotide long non-coding RNA is filed under the name Sorghum bicolor (sorghum). Its description in RNAcentral is "long non-coding RNA (SBIC_LNC013156)". The record is from RNAcentral. Lineage: Eukaryota; Viridiplantae; Streptophyta; Magnoliopsida; Poales; Poaceae.
GCCCCAGGAGUCAGUGUGCUCUAUUUGUUGGACUGGACCAUUCGGUUUCUAAGUCUAAGGAGGGGUCUACAUUAAAUACGCCAGGGCUGUGGCAGGCGGCGUGUGAGUCCAGUCGCUGUCCUUCUUGGUUGCGAGUUGUGCGAGGUGGGGUGCUACUCUUACUGCGGUUUCUUGUCGGUGGUGUUUUGCUUCUUCCUGAUUUUGGAUUCUGCUAUUCUCGGUGGCUGCGUGUUUGGUGCAUGCUGUGGAUCUGUGGCCGCGUUGGUCCGAGUUACAGUUGGGGUCGUCGGCGACCGGUGCCGGAGCGGCGACCUACGCUGCCCGGAAUCGCCAGCUGCGUCCUCCCUGGGCUGCGUCGGCCCGGGUGCUCACCGGACUCGCCGCCUUCGACUCUUCGUCCUUCGUGUGUUCGUCGCAGUUUGGUAUGGGUCUCUCCAUUCUCCGAUUCAUGCAAUCUAUGGCUGAGGUGUUGAUGGUUUGCUAACAUUUGGUUCGUUCCCUGGUUGUGCGUUGUUUUCUUCUUUGUUUUUUCGCUUUAAGCAUUCCCUGGUUGUGGAUCAUAUCAUUUGUGAUUGGUUGGUGCAUGUGUUGCAUCAACAUCGAAGGAGAUGGAAUGAAAUACGCAAGGCAAAGGUAUAACCUAUAGGGCAUUUCAUUUCACCGGUCUAAAUUGAGUAGAGAAGUGCUUGAUCGGAUUUAGGAUAGAUAACCGUACUAUAAAGAGGGGAAAUCUUUAAUUGCAAUGGUUAUCUAGUGCCACUAAGUGUGAGUCUCUUUUGCAUAUGCAUUGCGCUUAGUGACGUGGUGAGAAUACUUGAGAAAACCCUAACAAUUAUUUGUGAAAAUGCUAACUUAAGUGCUCAAUUGUUUUUGGUACUUCGUGGGAAAGUUAGCACCUUAAAAAGGGGUUUUGAGUUGGAAAACCGAGCUAGUAGGCAUGCCCAAACAGCAAGGGGUCGAUCGGAGUUAUUCUCUACCCUACCUGGAUAUUCUGUUUUUGUGCUUGCAACAGAGAGGGGUCGAUCAGAAUUUUCAUUGCUCUACCUGGAUAUUUUCAUGGCCCUACCUGGAAAUUCCGAUUGAGCUCAGAUCUAACCCACGCCAACGGUCAAAAGUGUGUUUGCCUGGAAUUAUUUUCUACCCGCACUGGAAUUUCUCGCGAGGCUGAAUCUGACCGUUGGGAGCGCGAGCUGAGGUAUUUGGGGCUGCUGCUGCCCUUUUCCUCCUUACUUCUCUCCCCAUUUUCUCACUUUAGGAGAGCAAGCAAGUUAGGGUUCCUCCUCUCCUCUCUCUCUCCUAUGGAUUUGAGCUGAAAUUUCUUAGAGAGAUUGAGAGCCCUUUGUGGGUGUGGAUGAGAGGUUGCAGAUCCACAUUUUCCCUUUCCUCUCCCUCUCAUGCUUGGUGCUAUUUUUCAGUGAGGGAGUAAGAGCCUAGUGUGUGCAUUCGUGAUUUGCAUUUGGUGGCACUAGGAAAUCUUUGUGAUUGGGGAUUUCUUGUUACUCUUGGUGAUUGCCAUCACCUAGACGGUUUGGUGGAUUGUGACUCCGUUUGAAGCACGCGAGAAGAUUGUGCGGUGCUCCGGAGGAGGAUUUGUGAGGGGUACGGUGCUCACCCCGCGGGGAUCGCGAAGAGCAACUCUAGUAGAGCGAGACGCGAAGGGCGACAAGUGGUCCGGCCGGGUCAAGUGCUAGAGCUUGUGGCAAGCACUCCAAGUGGGAGAGUGUGACUUGCGGGUCACCACUAGCAAGAGGACCGGCGGCAACCUUGGAGCUUGUCUCAACGGGGACGUAGCUUGGUGGCAACCAAGUGAACCUCGGGAGAAAAUCAUCGUGUCAACAUUGUUCUUCCCGUUGGUUUGCAAGUCCCUAACACAAGCUUGUUUUUACAUUCAUAUACUUGUGCUUGUGUCGUUGCUCUUGUAAUUAGUUAGCUUGUGUAGCUAGAAGUAGUUCCCCUUGCGUGACUAAUUUGGUUUGUGUAACCUUGUUAGUCACAUUGCUUAGUUUGUGUAGCUAAGUAUUUUGCGCUCUCUAAUUUGGCAUUGGUUGCCUUGUUAUUGAGCUUUGCUAGUGAGCUUAAGAGCUUUGUGCUUUUGCUUACUAGUUGUGUAGGAGCUCCCGGGUUUGCAAAGUACUAGUGGCAUAGGUUUGUGUGACCUUGCUUCUAGAAUUGGUUAGGUGAGCUCUUGUUAAGGUAGCAUCUUGUUUGCUUGUUUAGGAUCUGUUACAAGGUUCUAGAGAACUUAGAUAGAGGGGUGUAGUCUUGGCUAGACCGAUUGUUUCAAUUACGCAUUUGUUUCGGUUAUCCGGCGUGAUAAGUUUUAGAAAGGACUAUUCACCACCCCUCUAGUCCACCAUCUCGAUCAUAAAGUGGUAUCAGAGCUAGGUCUCUCAUUUGUGGUCUUCACCGACCCGAGAGGAUGGCGGCUUAUGGGCUAGAUGAUUGUGAGACACACAUUUUUGAUGGUACAAACUUUGCACUUUGGAAAAAUCACAUGCUUGAUCAUUUUCGUGCAAAGGGACCUAAAUUUUGGUGGAUUGUCACUAAUGGUCUCACACACAACUUAGACCAUAAGAAUCUCACCAAAGCUCAAAAGGUUCUCUUUGAACUUGAUUGUGAAGCUUAUGAUUAUCUAAUAGAAUCUUUGAGAUUUGAGAUGUUUGAUAGGAUAAACUCCAAAGGAACCGCUUAUGAAAUGUGGGAGUCUAUCAAACACACCUUCGGUGGUUCCUCCACAUGGGAUGAUGGCAAGUUCAAAAAGGAGGAAUCAAAGGUGGAGAUACAUGAGGACGAUGAUGAUGCCACAAGUGAUGCAACCGAUGAUGCUACUCCAUGCACACUUGAUGGUGAAGCUGAUGGCUAUGAGAGUGAUGCUUCCACAAGCUCAUCUACUACAUCACCGCAUUGCUUCAUGUCACAUGGUGACACUAAGGUAUCUAUUGGUGAUGUGAUUGUUGAUUGUGAUGGUCCAAAUUUUGAGCUCAUUUGUAGACUCUCAAAAGCUUUAAGAAAUGAGAUGGCAAAAACAAGUAAAUUGAAAAAUGAAAACUCAUUUCUAAAGACCACAUGUGAACAACAAAAGCAUCUACUUUAUGUUACUACUUGUUCACAUGAGGAGAUAAAAUUGGCUCAUGAGGAACUUUGUGUUGCUCAUGAUAACUUGGUACAAGAUCAUGCAUUUCUCACUAAGAAGAUUUCUAAUGAAGAAAUUAAAACUAGUGAGAGCUCAUCACUUGGGUCAAAUGAUCAAUCAAAUAUUGUUACUAACCCUUGUCAUGUAGGCAAGAAGCAUGUAUCCACCUCUUGUGAUGAUUUAUUAUCUAUGCCAUGUUCUUCACAUAUAGAUGCCUGUUCUACUUCUAUAUCUUGUGAGACUAACCUUUUGAAAGAGAACAAUGAGCUUAAUGAACAAGUGAAGAAUUUGAGCAACAAGUUAGAGAGGUGCUACUACUCAAAAGUUACCUUUGAGCAUAUAUUGAAGACUCAAAGAAAUUAUGGUGACAAAUGUGGCCUUGGCUUCAAGAAGAAGAUGACAAAGGGCGAAAGAAAGCAAGAAAAGAGGAUGAAGAAGCUACUUCAAAAGAAGCUUUCUCACACCAUGUGCUAUCGGUGCUAUGAAGUGGGACAUCUUGCUAAUGGUUGCCCAAACAAAGAGAAGCUUAAGAAGAUGAAGGAAGAAGAUAGGCUAAAGAAUGUCAAGUGCUUCAAGUGCUGCACUUGGGGUCAUCUCACCUCAAUGUGCCCAACCAAGCAAUUGGUAAAGCAUCAAGUGAAGCCUCAACCAAAGCCACAAGUUAGGCAAGAAAAGACACCCCAAGAGCAAAUCAAGAUCAACCGUGAUGGUGAUGACUUGAUAAUGAAGAAGAAGAAAACAAGAAGGGGUGGAAGAGCAAGGCAUCCAAUGCAAAUCCAAGAUGCCAAGAUGAUGAGCAAGGAUGAUGGAUACUUUUCCUCGAGGUGUCCUACCAAGCUUGAGAAGAAGGUUCAAGCAACUCUCAAGAGGCAAGGCAAUAAGAAGCAACAUAUGAGCAAGGAAGAAAAGGCUCAAUCCAAAAGAAGUUGCUACUUAUGCCGGAAAAGGGGACACAUGGCUCAUUCAUGUUCCCUAGGUAACACUUCUAAGCCUAUUUCAAUUGAUAAUGCUAAUGUGCUUAGAAAGGAUGAUAAUGUACCUCUAUGGUUGCUAUUGCAAAACAUCCCGCUACUCAUACUAUGGCAUCGCCUAAGUAUGUUGCUCCUAACUUGAGAGGACCCAAACUAGUUUGGGUACCAUCAAAAAGUGGAUGAAUGUGUGUAGGUACCAUCGGCAUUGGAGGCUUAAUUCAAUUGAUCUUAUAUUAUUCAUCAUAUGAUUGAGUCAAGUAUUGAAGCCUAGUGCACAUCCAAACCCAAUGUCAUGACAAGAUAGUAAAGUCCAAAUGUGUUACAACAUACAAGUGUCAUAUUCAAGUUGUGGUGAUUUAUUGGAUUAUUUGAUAGCUUGCAAAUUGGAUGAUCAUGAGCUAACCAAGCUAUAUCUUUGUUGAUCACAUUCAUUUGGGUGCAUAUGAGUUGAUUGAAUUGGAUAUAUAUGCAAUAUUGCUUGCUAUGAGGUGUUUGAAUGGAUAAAUGCUUAGUAAUCAAGUUUGGAUUGAUUUGAGUUGGAUAAGUUCAUGAGAUGACUUUUAGUAAAUGGAUUGAAUUGAUAUAUGUCUUGUGAAAGUAUUCAAACAAGUCUUUGUCAAGUUUGAUUCAAAUUGAAGAAGUACAGCUCAAUUGCUUGACAUCUGUCCAAUAUUAAAAACUGAGCUUGCUGAGAUCAAGUCUGAGUUUGAGUAGACGAAUCUAUAUGGAAUGGCUUGAAAUUUGGUAUGCGUGCUGUACAUUUAUCAUAGAAGAUGCUGUAGAAAUUUCAUGAGAAUUGGAUGAGGGAUUCUUCAGUUUUGGAGUGGAUCUUAUCAGCUAUAGUGUAGCAGUUUUCAGCAUGUAGCAGUGGUGGAAGAAUUGAAAUCUGGUAGCAAUCUAGAAGUCAAAAGAAGCUCAAAUUUUUACAGCUGCUAAAUGACUUAGUGAAUCAUAUUUCCACCAGAUUUCGUGGUAUUUGGAUCUGUACAUUGUGAGAUAUGAGUUGUUCUUUGAAAGGUACAGAAUCUGCCAGAAAAGUGAUAAUCAUUGGAUUGAUCUAGAGUCACUUCAAUUGAAAGGUCCUCAAGUUGGAAAUAUGAUUAUAAGUGUUUCAGGCACAUAAUUUUGGUUUUGAAUUGAUCUAGAAGCAUGACAAGUAUUGAGUACAAGGCUAUUUGAUUGUGGAGUGUACUUGGUGUACACAUUUAGUACUCAAAUUGAAGAUCAAGAAUCAAACUCAAGAUGAAGAUGAAGUUUAAGAUCCAGUAACUAUUGGAGAUCAUUUGGUAGAAAGAAAAGGACUUAAACAAGUAGAAAGAAAAGGACUUAAAGAAGGAUUCAUGGUUACUCAUCACAUUAAGUCUGUCACUUGAAUCAAUCAAUCAAAGCAAUUCAAGUGAGUACCAAAAAUAGUUCUUUGGAGAAAGGUCACUUCUCCCUAUGUGAGGGGCUUGCAGCCCGAGGUGUGGUUUAACCAGGUGUGGUACUUGGAAGGCUAACAUAGAAGUGGUGAUCUAAAGGAUAUUUGAGAUGCUUAGUUGAAGCAAUCAAAAGGAUUGAUCAAGAAAGCAAGCAACACCCAAAAGAGAGCUAGUCAUGCUAUUUCAAGUGAUAUUCUUAUUAGUUCUCUCAUACAAGCAAUGAUCAAAAUAAGAAGCAAGCCAACCACAAUAAGAUAGUGCACUUGAUCAUAUUGGUGGUUCUCAAAUCAUAUGGGUGAAGAUUUGAUCUAUCAAUUGGUAUCUAUGAUUGGUCUUCACCAAGCUUAUCAAUUGGACUUCACAUUGCUAUUGGAGAAAUGAAUUGGAAUCUAUGUGACUAUCCUCUUCUCCAACAUAGCAAAGGUAUCAUUGUAUUGUGCAUGAUCAUUUCAUCCCGUACUAGUAUGCGGUUAGUGCAUAUAGUACAUGCUUAUUAGAAUCAUGCAUUACAAAUGAAAUAUUUUAAAUUCAUAAGCCUACCACUAUUGCUUGAAUGAUUAAUUGAUCUAGUGGUAUGCAUAUGAGUUUGUUCAUGAGCUAGUGAACCCAAGUACUUGAUCUAUUUUGGAUUGUUAACAAGUGACAAGUACAACAUUGGCAAGAUAACCCUUAAUUAGAGGUGUGAAAAAGCUUGUCAUUGGUUCAAAUCGGACUUGGCAGCUUAGGCAAAUCAACAUAGUUCAAGUCUACAAUUAGAAGCUCAUGUGAUUAGAGUACAAGAACAAGACAACAAUGCAAAUGGAUAUCUAGACUUAAAUGUUUCUUCAAGUGGCAUCCAACAAUUGGUACUCAUGAUGAUGAUAGCAAAUGUUCAAUAUUGCAAACAAGUGGUUCCAUACUAGAAGAUCUUUAAUUGGUAGAAGACUUCCAUUUGGUAUCGGACAAGAUCUUUCAAGUGAUAUCACAUUUAUACAUAUGGUAUCAAUCAUACAAGAAGAUGAUUCCACAAGCGAUCCUCAACUUUAAGUGAUCACCAAGCAAAGAAAGUUCCCUCACCAACAAGAUUGACAAGUGAAUGACCCAUGCUAUGACAUAGGGGGAGGUGCCCCACCUAUUGGUAUCAAGGUCAAAGAUCCCAUAUGGUAUCUCAAGAGCAAUUCAAGUAAUGUCAUUCCAACACAUAUGGUGAUGUCCAUCAAAAAUGCAAAAUUCAAGUCUCAACCAUCUACCCCAUAUGCAAUCCUUUGUCACAAUGAGAUGCACACCUUUUCAAUUAGUAUCAAGUGAUUUAAUUGGUAUCACAUACCUUUUAUGAAAAUUGAUGACAAAGUGGGAGAGAUUGGUACAAAGAUAUGAAAUAUAGGAAGUUGGUUUGUACAUGGAUAUGGACAAAGAGGGAGCAACAUUAAGAUGGAUCAAGAAGGAUCAAAAUUCUUGGAUAAGAGAAGCACACAUGUAGGGGGAGCAAGCUCAUGAACCUUGUUUGUUUGCAUUUGAUAUGUGCAUAUUCAUGUGCUUGAUUGCAUUGCAUAAGUUUUUAAAUUCAAUAUGCAUGUUUGUGUGGUAUAUGCUUGUUAUAGAACUUGAUUGAUAAUAUGACAACUAGCAUGCAUAGGUUGGUAUCUAGACUUGUGUUUAUUAAGUAAAAACUAGACCCUUGCUUAUAAUGUUGAUCUCACAGGGUUUCUUAGUGUUUUUGUUGUCUAGCUACUCAUGGUGCUAAGGAUGGUGUACAAUGGCUACUUCAAAUGAUAUAAAAAAUAGUAUCGAGCUACAAAGGUUUAUUCUAUACACCUUAGCACUUAGUCGGGCUUUAUGGUGCUUAUCCAAAUCUUGACAUAGAGCUUAAAUGUUGGAUAAGUAGCAUAAAAUCCAAAAUCAAGUUAGCAAUUUACACUUGUGUGAACUGCUAGCUUGAAAAAGCUUUAAUUUCCAUAUCUUUGUAGAGUUGUCAUCAAUUACCAAAAAGGGGGAGAUUGAAAGGACUUUGUUUGGUUUUGGUAAUUGAGUGACAACUUAGGUGGACUAAUAGUAUUUAUGUAAGAUAUACAGGAGAUUAGUCCACAGGUGGAUAUGUGAUGAUAAAGGAACUCAUUGCAUAUGAGACAUGACAUGGAGUCAUGUGACCAAGGUGGAGAAGAUCAAGAUGAGGCUUGGCUCGAUGGACUAGUUGCAAGUGUGAAGGGCAAGUCAGAGGCUUUGAAGCGAGGGACCGCGUGUGACGGUGAAGCUUGAGCAAGACUUGGCGCCGAUGGACCAAGGCAAUGGUGAAGAGCAAGUGAGGUCAAGAUCGAUGAACCAAUACGGUCAUGUGAUGAUAUAAAGUGGAUCAUAUCAUUUGUGAUUGGUUGGUGCAUGUGUUGCAUCAACAUCGAAGGAGAUGGAAUGAAAUACGCAAGGCAAAGGUAUAACCUAUAGGGCAUUUCAUUUCACCGGUCUAAGUUGAGUAGAGAAGUGCUUGAUCGGAUUUAGGAUAGAUAACCGUACUAUAAAGAGGGGAAAUCUUUAAUUGCAAUGGUUAUCUAGUGCCACUAAGUGUGAGUCUCUUUUGCAUAUGCAUUGCGCUUAGUGACGUGGUGAGAAUACUUGAGAAAACCCUAACAAUUAUUUGUGAAAAUGCUAACUUAAGUGCUCAAUUGUUUUUGGUACUUCGUGGGAAAUUUAGCACCUUAAAAAGGGGUUUUGAGUUGGAAAACCGAGCUAGUAGGCAUGCCCAAACAGCAAGGGGU